Molecule: ribosomal RNA, 395 nt
Filed under: Penaeus stylirostris (blue shrimp)
Lineage: Eukaryota; Metazoa; Arthropoda; Malacostraca; Decapoda; Penaeidae
Description: partial 16S ribosomal RNA
Rfam family: Bacterial large subunit ribosomal RNA
Source: RNAcentral
GUGCGAAGGUAGCAUAAUCAUUAGUCUCUUAAUUGGAGGCUUGUAUGAAUGGUUGGACAAAAAGCAAACUGUCUCAAUUAUAUUUAUUGAAUUUAACUUUUAAGUGAAAAGGCUUAAAUAACUUAAGGGGACGAUAAGACCCUAUAAAGCUUUACAAUAAGUUAUCUAUAUUAUAAAUUGUUAGUAUAACUUGAUUUUAGAUAAUAUUUGUUGCGUUGGGGCGACGGGAAUAUAAUGAGUAACUGUUCUUAAGCUAUUUAAUAACAGGAAUUUCUGGAAAAUUAAUGAUCCUCUUUUAGAGAUCAUAAGAUUAAGUUACUUUAGGGAUAACAGCGUAAUCUUCUUUGAGAGUCCAUAUCGACAGGAAGGGUUGCGACCCCGAUGUUGAAUUAAGG